UACGUAGGGUGCGAGCGUUGUCCGGAAUUAUUGGGCGUAAAGAGCUCGUAGGCGGUGUGUCACGUCGGCCGUGAAAACCUGCAGCUUAACUGUGGGCGUGCGGUCGAUACGGGCAUCACUGGAGUUCGGCAGGGGAGACUGGAAUUCCUGGUGUAGCGGUGAAAUGCGUAGAUAUCAGGAGGAACACCGAUGGCGAAGGCAGGUCUCUGGGCUGACACUGACGCUCAUGCACGAAAGCGUGGGGAGCAAACAGG
This 254-nucleotide ribosomal RNA is filed under the name uncultured bacterium. RNAcentral's name for it is "partial 16S ribosomal RNA". It matches the Rfam family "Bacterial small subunit ribosomal RNA", at positions 524 to 776 of the family's 1533-position model. The record is from RNAcentral.